RNAcentral lists this ribosomal RNA (405 nucleotides) under uncultured bacterium. RNAcentral's name for it is "partial 16S ribosomal RNA". It matches the Rfam family "Bacterial small subunit ribosomal RNA", at positions 360 to 775 of the family's 1533-position model. The record is from RNAcentral.
AAUAUUGCACAAUGGGCGCAAGCCUGAUGCAGCAACGCCGCGUGAGGGAUGACUGCCUUCGGGUUGUAAACCUCUUUUAGUAGGGAAGAAGCCGCAAGGUGACGGUACCUGCAGAAAAAGCACCGGCUAACUACGUUCUGGCCGCCGCGGUAAUACGUAGGGUGCAAGCGUUGUCCGGAAUUAUUGGGCGUAAAGAGCUCGUAGGCGGCUUGUCGCGUCUGCUGUGAAAACCCGAGGCUCAACCUCGGGCUUGCAGUGGGUACGGGCAGGCUAGAGUGCGGUAGGGGAGAUUGGAAUUCCUGGUGUAGCGGUGGAAUGCGCAGAUAUCAGGAGGAACACCGAUGGCGAAGGCAGAUCUCUGGGCCGCUACUGACGCUGAGGAGCGAAAGCAUGGGGAGCGAACAG